This 623-nucleotide ribosomal RNA is filed under the name Staphylococcus warneri. RNAcentral describes it as "bacterial SSU rRNA". It matches the Rfam family "Bacterial small subunit ribosomal RNA", at positions 76 to 684 of the family's 1533-position model. The record is from RNAcentral. Lineage: Bacteria; Bacillati; Bacillota; Bacilli; Caryophanales; Staphylococcaceae.
GAGCUUGCUCCUUUGACGUUAGCGGCGGACGGGUGAGUAACACGUGGAUAACCUACCUAUAAGACUGGGAUAACUUCGGGAAACCGGAGCUAAUACCGGAUAACAUAUUGAACCGCAUGGUUCAAUAGUGAAAGGCGGCUUUGCUGUCACUUAUAGAUGGAUCCGCGCCGUAUUAGCUAGUUGGUAAGGUAACGGCUUACCAAGGCAACGAUACGUAGCCGACCUGAGAGGGUGAUCGGCCACACUGGAACUGAGACACGGUCCAGACUCCUACGGGAGGCAGCAGUAGGGAAUCUUCCGCAAUGGGCGAAAGCCUGACGGAGCAACGCCGCGUGAGUGAUGAAGGUCUUCGGAUCGUAAAACUCUGUUAUCAGGGAAGAACAAAUGUGUAAGUAACUGUGCACAUCUUGACGGUACCUGAUCAGAAAGCCACGGCUAACUACGUGCCAGCAGCCGCGGUAAUACGUAGGUGGCAAGCGUUAUCCGGAAUUAUUGGGCGUAAAGCGCGCGUAGGCGGUUUUUUAAGUCUGAUGUGAAAGCCCACGGCUCAACCGUGGAGGGUCAUUGGAAACUGGAAAACUUGAGUGCAGAAGAGGAAAGUGGAAUUCCAUGGGUUAAACGGG